Molecule: non-coding RNA, 379 nt
Organism: Paramuricea clavata
Lineage: Eukaryota; Metazoa; Cnidaria; Anthozoa; Malacalcyonacea; Plexauridae
Source: the annotation of a GenBank genome assembly
CACAAAAGGGAAUCACACUGUUAAUUUCAAGGAGUUAUUUUAACUCCCUAACUAAAUUUGGGCGUAAAUUUUUUUGGAGUUAAAAAACUACUCCACUUCGAUAUGUAUUCAAACAUAUGUAUACUCCACUGGGAGUCAAUUUAACUCCACUUAAAGGAGUAAAAAUAACCCUAGCACAGGAGUAAAAAUAACGGAGUAAAUUGUACUGUAUAUAUUUUACUCCAGCGGUUGUUUUUACUCCCAAUUAAUCGUAGUAGUCCCUACUCAGCCUGUGUAAUAUAACUCAACCAUUACACAUAUAUAUUCAUAGGAAUGCCAAAACUAUAUUCAGGUUUCUUCAACCUAGAGAUAUUUGCUAUACAAAUUCGUAGUGAAAGAG